RNAcentral lists this unclassified non-coding RNA (346 nucleotides) under soil metagenome. RNAcentral's name for it is "partial contains 5.8S ribosomal RNA, internal transcribed spacer 2, and large subunit ribosomal RNA". The stretch from base 1 to 120 matches the Rfam family "5.8S ribosomal RNA", at positions 35 to 154 of the family's 154-position model. The record is from RNAcentral.
GUUGAAGAACGUAGCAAAAUGCGAUAAGUAAUGUGAAUUGCAGAAUUCAGUGAAUCAUCGAAUCUUUGAACGCACAUUGCGCCCGCUGGUAUUCCGGCGGGCAUGCCUGUUCGAGCGUCAUUUCAACCCUCAAACCCCCGGGUUUGGUGUUGGGGAUCGGCUCUGCCUCACGGCGGUGCCGCCCCCGAAAUACAUUGGCGGUCUCGCUGCAGCCUCCAUUGCGUAGUAGCUAACACCUCGCAACUGGAACGCGGCGCGGCCAUGCCGUAAAACCCCAACUUCUGAAUGUUGACCUCGGAUCAGGUAGGAAUACCCGCUGAACUUAAGAAUAUCAAUAAGCGGAGGA